UUUCUUGAAAGUUUCUAUAUUUUCCAACGUGUUUUUCUCGUUGCUGCAACCAAUGAAAACAAUGCUGAUGUGAACGGCGGGUGUCUCCACGGAAAGGGACCAAAUGGACCCAGGGCGGCCUCAGUCGAUCUCCGCACGAAUGAGUCGUGUCCCCCGGAACCUGUGUUCAAGACUACAGCAUCAGAUCUUGCCUGAAUUUCCAGGCUUUGGGCCUGCCCUGCAGAUUUCAACCCUGCCAGCCCCCACUAUAUUACAACCAGCACUGUGAGCCCUGAAUUGGAGAGCUACUGAGUUGGAGCCUCAUCCCCGACCCUGCAAGGAGACAGUAGGAUCAGCUGCUCUUCUAGAGCACCUAAAACUUCAUGUCUUUCCCUCUGCAUCCCAUCCCACCCCUUUUUGUGUGCAUCUUGAUUUUUGAAUGACUGAUGAGUCGCUGGAAAAGACCUCUCCACAUCAGCUGCUUUGGCCUGCCUGUCACUCAGCACCUGGUCCAAACAAAACCUCAGCACGUGCUCAGUGGGGUAAGUAAGCACAUGAUCAAAGCUCCAGGCUAGAAUUGACAGCCUCAGACUAUCUUCCUGGUGUUUGCUGGACUCCCGGGUUUAUACUGGGAAAUGCCAAGUCAUUCCCAAUAUGCAUCACAGAGAGUAGGUACUCAUAAAUAUUUACUGAAAACUUCUGAGGAUGAAGUGCACACAAAGGGAGAUCUCACGACAUGUUGCCCGUCACCAACUCUGUCCUCCUUGGGCUCUUCUCUCUGGGCAUUAUCCUCCUCCAUCAGGAUCUUCUGCUGAAUCUCAAAGGAGAAACUGGGAUCAAUGCCAGCCUGUGCUCAGCAAGAAAAGAGAGAUACCAUGAGUGGGAAGCUGGAAGCUGAGGUGACCUCUGAAAGCUGCAGGUCAGCAGAGCUAACAUCUGGGAAACACAAACUGCUGUCGAAAUUGAAAAACAGAUAUCCUGGGUCAUCCUAUAUUCCCACUGCUGACUAUCCUUUAGGAUGACAAAACUUUCACACUAUCAACACUAACCACCACCAACCACCACCGACAAAAGCACACUUUUGGAUAAAAUAAUUAGAGAUUUUUUUUAAAAAUGGAUGCUGGCAAACAAUCAAUGGGCAAAUAUUUAGGCAAAGAGAAGAAUCCGUUUUUCACAUAGUUUCUGCUUGGGGUUUACUGUUCCUUAUUUUCUAUUUUUCAUCCCAUGCUUAUUAUUUACCAGCAUGUUAGGUACUUUGUCUUUAUUAUAUCAUUUAAGUUUUACAAAAUCUCAUUAUAGAAAAGGAAGCCAAUGUCCUUGUUCUUAAGAGCUCCCCACGGAGCUCCUGACUUUAAGUCAGACCUCCCACAGCUCUCAUAUGUCCAGUUUUCUCUGCAGACUCAGGGCUGCCUCAGGAGAUGAUGUGGUCCCACCAUCAUGUUAGGGUUCCCAUUUGUUUGGUACUUACUAUGCCAAAUAUUUCUCAUUUGAUUUUCACGAUGACUCAGAUAUGGCAUGAGGAGGGGAAUUCAAUUUUGGACAUGUUGGGUUGGAGGAUAUCUAUAGAUCAAGUGAAGUGCAGGGAAGAGAUCAUGGCCAUGGCUGGAGAUGUAUAUUUGGAGGAUGCAGAUAUUUUUUUUAAUAUUUUAUUAAAAUAUUAAAGUUCCUGGGAGAAGAUGGAGGGGACGAGGUCAUCUUACAGUUGGAAGGCUGGCCUUGACUAGGAUAUAUAUUCCUCAUUUCAAGAGGAUGAAUAAAGGAAAGGAGAGGGGGAUAGAUACCUACAUAGGUCAAGAGCUGUGUGAUGGAAGGAGUUAAGAGUACAGGAUAUUUACAUACUGAGGGCUUUAUUCUUGUCAGUGAAGUACAAGACCAACUUUUCCAUUGAAAGUCUACCAACUGGAAAAUUUUUGUAGGAGCUAAAUGCUGAAAUAUAGACUUCCAUGAGUUACAUUAAAAAGAAGCUUGAUUCAUUUUGUUGUAAAGCAGAAACUAACACACCAUUGUAAAGCAAUUAUACUCCAAUAAAGAUGUUAAAAAAUUAAAAAGAAGCUUGAAAAACUUUUGUGCUACAAAUAAUACCAAGAAAGAAAAAACACAACCCACAGAAUGGGAGAAAAUAUUUACAAAUCAUAUAUCUGAUAAGGGACUUGUAUCUAGAAUAUUAAAAGAAACUUAAAAUUCAAAAUGCUCAUAGGAUCUGAAUAGAUAUCUCUCCAAUGAAGAUAUACACAUGACCAAUAAGCACAUAAAAAGAAGCUGAACAUUAUUCAUUAGGGAAAAGCACUCCAAUACCACAAUUUGAUACCACUUCACACCCACUACACUGGCUAUAAUGUAAAAGACAGAUAAUAUCACAUGUUGGAAAGGAUAACAUGCUUUGGGGAUGUAAAAUGCCACUUGGGAAAAUAGUCUCUCUGUUCUUCAAAAGAUUAAACACAGAGCUGCAAUAAGACCCAGCAAUUCCACUCAUAGGUAUAUACCCAAAAGAGAUGAAAACAUGUUCACACAUAACUUGAAUACAAAUGUUCAUAUCAUCACUAUUCAUAAUAGCCAAAAAGUAGAAACAACU
This is a long non-coding RNA of Lagenorhynchus albirostris (white-beaked dolphin), 2551 nucleotides long. RefSeq lists it as uncharacterized. Lineage: Eukaryota; Metazoa; Chordata; Mammalia; Artiodactyla; Delphinidae. The transcript has 3 exons. The record is from RefSeq and is a predicted model, not a curated record.